This is a small nuclear RNA of Ursus americanus (American black bear), 107 nucleotides long. The record is from Ensembl. Lineage: Eukaryota; Metazoa; Chordata; Mammalia; Carnivora; Ursidae.
GUGCUCAUUUCGGCAGCACAUGUACUAAAGUUGGAAUAAUACAGAGAAGAUUAGUAUGGCCCCCGCGCAAGGAUGACACACAAAUUCAUGAUGCGGUCCUUUAAAAA